Molecule: long non-coding RNA, 1445 nt
Organism: Scylla paramamosain (green mud crab)
Lineage: Eukaryota; Metazoa; Arthropoda; Malacostraca; Decapoda; Portunidae
Exons: 4
Source: RefSeq, a predicted model, not a curated record
AGCCCUCCACAGCCCCUGACACAGCAUCUAACACAGCCCCUUCACAGAACACCACAUACCUCACACAUACAUAAGAACAUAAGAACAUAAGAAAUAAGGGAAGCUGCAAGAAGCGACCAGGCUUACACGUGGCAGUCCCUGUAUGAAAUAUACCUACCUAUUUCCAUCUGUUAUCCCCAUCCAUAAACUUGUCUAAUCUUUUAAAGCUCUCUAGUGUCCUAGCACUAACAACAUGAUUACUGAGUCCGUUCCACUCAUCUACCACUCUUUUUGAGGACAAAUUUUUUUUCCUAUCUCCAUCCUAAACCCAAAUUUUUCAAGCUUGUACCCAUUAUUUCUUGUUCUACCCUGGUUGCUGAUCCUAAGAAUUUUGCCUACAUCCCCCUUGUUAUAACCCUUAUACCACUCAAAGACUUCUAUCAGGUCCCCUCUUAACCUACGUAUCUCUAAAGAAUGUAAAUUUAACAGCUUCAACCUCGAGACCUAUAUCUUUCCUGUAAUGUGGGGACCAGAACUGCACAGCGUAGUCUAGAUGAGGUCUGACCAGCGCCAAGUAUAACUUUAAUACUACUUCCGGCCUUCUACUUUUAACACUCCUAAAAAUCACACACACCACAGGAGCCUCACAAACAGUCUGACAGCCUUCACAAGCAGCCCCACACUCCACCACAGACACACCAGACCCACUUCACCUCACCCACUUCCCAGCCCCCCACAGCCCCCCAGCCACCACAAAUGAAGUCAAAGGAAGGGACUGUGGCCUCACCCAGCCAGCCAGGACAGCCUACAGAGAGGGGGUAGUCCCAGUCAAGUCACAAAAUAUAGGCUUGGUUCUUCCUACAGUUUGAAGUCAAUGAUUGGACAGGCCAGACAGCUUAGUGGCAGAGCUGCAGGUGGCCCUUGUAAGCUUCCUGGUGGCCACAGGUGUAGGACAGCUGGGAGCAGUGGAGGUGCCUGAUGGGGCAGCUGUGCCGGACAGAGGGGCUGCUACUGCUGCUGCUGCUGCUGGGGAGAGCCACACUUGUAUGGUGGUAACACGGAGAGGAAGUGGAAGAAACCUUGGGACGCUCCCAUAACUCAGGAGCAAGAAAUACACCUUACUGGAAACCUUGUGACUGACAGGUGGCGGUGACUGCAGGAACCAAUUCAGAUGUCUGUCUUGUGCUGGCGAACGUCCUGUCUGCAGUCAGGCCAGUAGUGCUAUGUCGCAGGGUGUGACAUCAGGUGAAGAGCCAAAUGGAGAGUGUCUGCAGCCAGUACUGGGUGUGCUGAUGCUGUACAAGUGUCGAGCCAGGUGCCACAGCACAUGACUCCACCAGUGUAGUGUCUCUAGUCCAGGAUGCACUGCUGUGUACGACUUGUAUGUCUUUAUAAAUUUGUGACUAUUCUUAUUAUAUUUGUGAAAUAAGACUUGUAUGUCUUUGCUAAUAAAUAAAUAUUUGUGA